Molecule: ribosomal RNA, 492 nt
Filed under: uncultured bacterium
Lineage: Bacteria
Description: partial 16S ribosomal RNA
Rfam family: Bacterial small subunit ribosomal RNA
Source: RNAcentral
AGUGAACGCUGGCGGUAGGCCUAACACAUGCAAGUCGAACGGCAGCACAGUAAGAGCUUGCUCUUAUGGGUGGCGAGAGGCGGACGGGAGAGGAAUACAUCGGAAUCUACUUUUUCGUGGGGGAUCACGUAGGGAAACUUACGCUCAUAUCGCAUAUGAUCUACGGGUGUAAGCAGGGGAUAUUCGGACCUUGCGCGAUUGAAUGCGCCGAUGUCGGAUUAGCUAGUUGGCGGGGUAAAGGCCAACCAAGGCGACGAUCCGUAGCUGGUCUGAGAGGAUGAUCAGCCACACUGGAACUGAGACACGGUCCAGACUCCUACGGGAGGCAGCAGUGGGGAAUAUUGGACAAUGGGCGCAAGCCUGAUCCAGCCAUACCGCGUGGGUGAAGAAGGCCUUCGGGUUGUAAAGCCCUUUUGUUGGGAAAGAAAAGCAGCAGGUUAAUACCCCGCUGUUCUGACGGUACCCAAAGAAUAAGCACCGGCUAACUUCGUG